GGUUAAGUUAGAAAGGGCGCACGGUGAAUGCCUUGGCACUAGGAGCCGAUGAAGGACGGGACUAACACCGAUAUGCUUCGGGGAGCUGUAAGUGAGCUUUGAUCCGGAGAUUUCCGAAUGGGGAAACCCACUGUUCGUAAUGGAACAGUAUCUUUAUCUGAAUACAUAGGAUAUUGAAGGCAGACCCGGGGAACUGAAACAUCUAAGUACCCGGAGGAAGAGAAAGCAAAUGCGAUUUCCUGAGUAGCGGCGAGCGAAACGGAAUUAGCCCAAACCAAGAGGCUUGCCUCUUGGGGUUGUAGGACACUCUAUACGGAGUUACAAAGGAACGAAGUAAAUGAAGCGACCUGGAAAGGUCCGUCGAAGAAGGUAACAACCCUGUAGUUGAAACUUCGUUCCCUCUUGAGUGGAUCCUGAGUACGGCGGAACACGUGAAAUUCCGUCGGAAGCUGGGAGGACCAUCUCCCAAGGCUAAAUACUACCUAGUGACCGAUAGUGAACCAGUACCGUGAGGGAAAGGUGAAAAGCACCCCGGAAGGGGAGUGAAAGAGAUCCUGAAACCGUGUGCCUACAAGUAGUCAGAGCCCGUUAACGGGUGAUGGCGUGCCUUUUGUAGAAUGAACCGGCGAGUUACGAUCCCAUGCAAGGUUAAGCUGAUAAGGCGGAGCCGUAGCGAAAGCGAGUCUGAAUAGGGCGUUUAGUAUGUGGUUGUAGACCCGAAACCAGGUGAUCUACCCAUGUCCAGGGUGAAGUUCAGGUAACACUGAAUGGAGGCCCGAACCCACGCACGUUGAAAAGUGCGGGGAUGAGGUGUGGGUAGCGGAGAAAUUCCAAUCGAACCUGGAGAUAGCUGGUUCUCUCCGAAAUAGCUUUAGGGCUAGCCUCAUGUUGUGAGAGUCUUGGAGGUAGAGCACUGAUUGGACUAGGGGCCCCAACGGGUUACCGAAUUCAGUCAAACUCCGAAUGCCAAAGACUUAUCCAUGGGAGUCAGACUGCGAGUGAUAAGAUCCGUAGUCAAAAGGGAAACAGCCCAGACCACCAGCUAAGGUCCCCAAGUAUACGUUAAGUGGAAAAGGAUGUGGAGUUGCUUAGACAACCAGGAUGUUGGCUUAGAAGCAGCCACCAUUUAAAGAGUGCGUAAUAGCUCACUGGUCGAGUGACUCUGCGCCGAAAAUGUACCGGGGCUAAACGUAUCACCGAAGCUGUGGAUUGACAUCUUAGAUGUCAGUGGUAGGAGAGCGUUCUAAGUGCUGUGAAGUCAGACCGUAAGGACUGGUGGAGCGCUUAGAAGUGAGAAUGCCGGUAUGAGUAGCGAAAGACAAGUGAGAAUCUUGUCCACCGAAUGCCUAAGGUUUCCUGAGGAAGGCUCGUCCGCUCAGGGUUAGUCGGGACCUAAGCCGAGGCUGAAAAGCGUAGGCGAUGGCCAACAGGUUGAUAUUCCUGUACCACCUCCCCCGCCGUUUGAGUAAUGGGGGGACGCAGUAGGAUAGGGUAAGCGCGCUGCUGGAUAUGCGCGUUCAAGCAGUUAGGCUGAUGAGUAGGCAAAUCCGCUCAUCAUAAAGGCUGAGCUGUGAUGACGAGGGAAUUAUAGUACCGAAGUUCCUGAUUCCACACUGCCAAGAAAAGCCUCUAGCGAGGCGGGAGGUGCCCGUACCGCAAACCGACACAGGUAGGCGAGGAGAGAAUCCUAAGGUGAUCGAGAGAACUCUCGUUAAGGAACUCGGCAAAAUGACCCCGUAACUUCGGGAGAAGGGGUGCUCUGGUAGGGUGUAUAGCCCGAGAGAGCCGCAGUGAAUAGGCCCAGGCGACUGUUUAGCAAAAACACAGGUCUCUGCGAAGCCGCAAGGCGAAGUAUAGGGGCUGACGCCUGCCCGGUGCUGGAAGGUUAAGAGGAGGGGGUUAUCCUUUGGGAGAAGCUCUGAAUCGAAGCCCCAGUAAACGGCGGCCGUAACUAUAACGGUCCUAAGGUAGCGAAAUUCCUUGUCGGGUAAGUUCCGACCCGCACGAAAGGCGUAACGAUCUGGGCACUGUCUCAACGAGAGACUCGGUGAAAUUAUAGUACCUGUGAAGAUGCAGGUUACCCGCGACAGGACGGAAAGACCCCGUGGAGCUUUACUGUAGCCUGAUAUUGAAUUUUGGUACAGCUUGUACAGGAUAGGUAGGAGCCUGAGAAGCCGGAGCGCUAGCUUCGGUGGAGGCGUCGGUGGGAUACUACCCUGGCUGUAUUGAAAUUCUAACCCGCGGCCCUGAUCGGGCCGGGAGACAGUGUCAGGUGGGCAGUUUGACUGGGGCGGUCGCCUCCUAAAAUGUAACGGAGGCGCCCAAAGGUUCCCUCAGAAUGGUUGGAAAUCAUUCGUAGAGUGUAAAGGCACAAGGGAGCUUGACUGCGAGACCUACAAGUCGAGCAGGGACGAAAGUCGGGCUUAGUGAUCCGGUGGUUCCGCAUGGAAGGGCCAUCGCUCAACGGAUAAAAGCUACCCGGGGAUAACAGGCUUAUCUCCCCCAAGAGUCCACAUCGACGGGGAGGUUUGGCACCUCGAUGUCGGCUCAUCGCAUCCUGGGGCUGUAGUCGGUCCCAAGGGUUGGGCUGUUCGCCCAUUAAAGCGGUACGCGAGCUGGGUUCAGAACGUCGUGAGACAGUUCGGUCCCUAUCCGUCGUGGGCGUAGGAAAUUUGAGAGGAGCUGUCCUUAGUACGAGAGGACCGGGAUGGACACACCGCUGGUGUACCAGUUGUCUUGCCAAAGGCAUCGCUGGGUAGCUAUGUGUGGACGGGAUAAGUGCUGAAAGCAUCUAAGCAUGAAGCCCCCCUCAAGAUGAGAUUUCCCAUAGCGCAAGCUAGUAAGAUCCCUGAAAGAUGAUCAGGUUGAUAGGUCAGAGGUGGAAGCGUGGCGACAUGUGUAGCUGACUGAUACUAAUCGAUCGAGGACUUAACCAA
Molecule: ribosomal RNA, 2936 nt
Filed under: Priestia megaterium
Lineage: Bacteria; Bacillati; Bacillota; Bacilli; Caryophanales; Bacillaceae
Description: 23S ribosomal RNA
Rfam family: Bacterial large subunit ribosomal RNA
Source: RNAcentral